This 466-nucleotide ribosomal RNA is filed under the name uncultured bacterium. Its description in RNAcentral is "partial 16S ribosomal RNA". It matches the Rfam family "Bacterial small subunit ribosomal RNA", at positions 28 to 507 of the family's 1533-position model. The record is from RNAcentral.
GACGAACGCUGGCGGCGUGCUUAACACAUGCAAGUCGAACGGAAAGGCCUCUUUCGGGGGGUACUCGAGUGGCGAACGGGUGAGUAACACGUGAGUAACCUGCCCUUGACUUUGGGAUAACUUCAGGAAAAUGGGGCUAAUACCGGAUAUGAGCUCCUGCUGCAUGGUGGGGGUUGGAAAGUUUCGGCGGUUGGGGAUGGACUCGCGGCUUAUCAGCUUGUUGGGGGGGUAGUGGCUUACCAAGGCUUUGGCGGAUAGCCGGCAUGAGGGGGGGACCGGCCCAAUUGGGACUGAGGUAGGGCCCAGAGUGCAACGGGGGGCAACGGGGGGAAAUCUUGCCCAGUGGGGGGACGUGUGAGGCGGACACGCCGGGGGGGGAAAGACGGUCUUUGGGUUGUAAAACGCUUUCGCUUAUGACGAAGCUUUUUGGAGGGGACCGGGGUAAAAAGCACCGGCUAACCUCGUG